This 449-nucleotide ribosomal RNA is filed under the name uncultured bacterium. RNAcentral's name for it is "partial 16S ribosomal RNA". It matches the Rfam family "Bacterial small subunit ribosomal RNA", at positions 354 to 796 of the family's 1533-position model. The record is from RNAcentral.
GUGGGGAAUUUUGGACAAUGGGCGCAAGCCUGAUCCAGCAAUGCCGCGUGUGUGAAGAAGGCCUUCGGGUUGUAAAGCACUUUUGGCAGGAAAGAAAUAGUGCGUGCUAAUACCAUGCGCGAAUGACGGUACCUGCAGAAUAAGCACCGGCUAACUACGUGCCAGCAGCCGCGGUAAGACGUAGGGUGCAAGCGUUAAUCGGAAUUACUGGGCGUAAAGCGUGCGCAGGCGGUUUUGUAAGACAGGUGUGAAAUCCCCGGGCUCAACCUGGGAACUGCACUUGUGACUGCAAGGCUAGAGUGUGUCAGAGGGAGGUGGAAUUCCGCGUGUAGCAGUGAAAUGCGUAGAGAUGCGGAGGAACACCGAUGGCGAAGGCAGCCUCCUGGGAUAACACUGACGCUCAGGCACGAAAGCGUGGGGAGCAAACAGGAUUAGAAACCCGGUAGUCC